CCAAUAGCGUAUAUUAAAGUUGUUGCAGUUAAAAAGCUCGUAGUUGAAUUUCGGGAUCAAGGGAUCGGUCAUGCCUUGGUAUGUACUGGUCUUAUUGGUUCUCACCUUCUAAAGAACCAUGAUGUCAUUCAUUUGAUGUUAUGGGGAAUUAGGACUGUUACCUUGAAAAAAUUAGAGUGUUUAAAGCAAGCUUACGCUUGAAUACAUUAGCAUGGAAUAAUGAAAUAGGACAUCAGAUUCUAUUUUGUUGGUUUCUAGGAUCGAUGUAAUGAUUAAUAGGGAUAGUUGGGGGCAUUAGUAUUCAAUUGUCAGAGGUGAAAUUCUUGGAUUUAUUGAAGACUAACUACUGCGAAAGCAUUUGCCAAGGAUGUUUUCAUUAAUCAAGAACGAAAGUUAGGGGAUCGAAGACGAUCAGAUACCGUCGUAGUCUUAACCAUAAACUAUGCCGACCAGGGAUCGGAUGAUGUUAAUUUUUUAAUGACUCAUUCGGCACCUUACG
This 499-nucleotide ribosomal RNA is filed under the name uncultured Glomeromycotina. RNAcentral describes it as "partial small subunit ribosomal RNA". It matches the Rfam family "Eukaryotic small subunit ribosomal RNA", at positions 591 to 1092 of the family's 1831-position model. The record is from RNAcentral. Lineage: Eukaryota; Fungi; Glomeromycota.